This 372-nucleotide ribosomal RNA is filed under the name uncultured organism. RNAcentral describes it as "bacterial SSU rRNA". It matches the Rfam family "Bacterial small subunit ribosomal RNA", at positions 526 to 896 of the family's 1533-position model. The record is from RNAcentral.
CAGAGGGUGCGAACGUUGCUCGGAAUUACUGGGCGUAAAGCGCGUGUAGGCGGGUCGGCAAGUCAGGCGUGAAAUCCCCAGGCUCAACCUGGGAACUGCGCUUGAAACUGCCGGUCUUGAGUAUCGGAGAGGGUGGCGGAAUUCCUGGUGUAGAGGUGAAAUUCGUAGAUAUCAGGAGGAACACCGGUGGCGAAGGCGGCCACCUGGACGAUUACUGACGCUGAGACGCGAAAGCGUGGGGAGCAAACAGGAUUAGAUACCCUGGUAGUCCACGCCGUAAACGAUGGGUGCUAGGUGUCUCGGGUAUUGACCCCUGAGGCGCCGUAGCUAACGCGUUAAGCACCCCGCCUGGGAAGUACGGCCGCAAGGCUA